AUUGAACGCUGGCGGCAGGCCUAACACAUGCAAGUCGAGCGAGUGGCGGACGGGUGGGAAAUGUCUGGGAAACUGCCUGAUGGAGUGGGAUAACUACUGGAAACGGUAGCUAAUACCGCAUACCAUAGGAUGUGCCCAGAUGGGAUUAGCUAGGAGGUGGGGUAAAGGCUCACCUAGGCGCCGAUACCUAGGUGGUCGGAGAGGGUGACCAGCCACGUUGGAACUGAGACACGGUCCAUGCGCCUACGGAAGGCAGCAGUGGGGAAUAGGGCACAAUGGGCGCAAGCCUGAUGCAGCCAUGCCGCGUGUAUGAAGAAGGCCUUCGGGUUGUAUAGUACUUUCAGCGGGGAGGCGUUACCCGCAGAAGAAGCACCGGCUAACUCCGUGCCAGCAGCCGCGGUAAUAC
RNAcentral lists this ribosomal RNA (406 nucleotides) under uncultured bacterium. Its description in RNAcentral is "partial 16S ribosomal RNA". It matches the Rfam family "Bacterial small subunit ribosomal RNA", at positions 29 to 526 of the family's 1533-position model. The record is from RNAcentral.